Molecule: RNA transcript, 5573 nt
Organism: Brachypodium distachyon (stiff brome)
Lineage: Eukaryota; Viridiplantae; Streptophyta; Magnoliopsida; Poales; Poaceae
Exons: 6
Source: RefSeq, a predicted model, not a curated record
CCGGGGGUCCUCUAAAACCCUUUUCCUGUUUUCCAACCUCCAUGGGCGCCUCAUGGUAGUAGCGCACUAGCACCACUCCCACCCACAUGGCUCGCCGCCUCCUCGCCCGCCACCUCGCCCCGCACCUCCGCCUCACCGCGCGGUGUCCCGCGGCCCCUUCCUACUCGCCGGCCCUCGCCGUUAUGCGCUUCAGAACCGGCGGCCCGAUAUCACGCCCCCCAGCCUGGGCGGCUCCCCAAGGAACACGUUUCUUUGCUGAUGAUCAUUCACACUACGAUCUGUUUGGUAAAAGAAGGCCGGGUGAUGAAGAGUUUAGGAAAGCUUGGCAAGAGAAUGUUGACGAGGAGGACUACCUGUGGACAGCUAGUGAGGAUGAGGAGGAUGGGGAAGAAAAUGAUACAAAAAUGGAGAGGGAAAUUAAGAAAGUGAAGAAGCAAGCCAAGGAAAAUGCAAAUCUUAUUGAUGCUGAUGACAGUGACGAGUUACGAAGUAUAUGCCCUGAGAGCGAUGAAGAUGAUAUGAAUCUCUGGAGUGGCAGUGAAGAGGAUGAUGAUAAUGAUAUCCCUACUGAGGCACACCCCAACGAGCGCAGUGAUUCAUACAUAGAUAAGGUGUUUGAAUUUGACGAGACACCUAAAUAUCGCACAAUCUCUGAGCUGUUAAAAGCUGAGAAGGAACCGCCAGAGCUGUCUCCAGGAAAGCAAGCAAGAAAACUUGCUGUAGAAAAUGCUCUCAAGAAGUUGAAGAAAGGACCUGAUGGACGCUACAUUAACGUAUUUGAUGUUGUCACUGAUAUAGAUAUCCUGAUUGGAGCAUUUGAGAACAUUGUUUCAGGGCCAGAAUACGCAGAGCUGCGGGAGGGUGGACCAAAGAAGCUCAAUAUACAGUUCUUUAAGGAUAUACAAGCACGCAUGAGAGACCCAAAUUUCAAAUUUUCUCCAGAGUUAAAGCUAAAGCCAAAGAGUAAGUUGGUGCCUAAGAAAAAGUGGCAGAAAGCACAGGCAAGGAAGAGGAAAAAUGACAAACGUUGAGCUGACUAACACACAGGUUGAUCUGGAAGACCAUGGGACUGUUGAAGGGUAACAUGCAAAUAUUUUACAUGGAUUUGUUAAAUUCCGACUUUCAGGAAGAGGAAUUGAUCAAAGCAAAGGAAGCUUCGUGUGGAAUCAUGCAGGUGAGUGCUCGUGCCCUCCUUGUAGUUAAUCUUAUUUUAUCCACUCAUCUGGCCUCAAUUACAGCUCCAUCCAUAUUAAAUUGUACACAAACAGUAUUAUAAGAUUCACCGUGCUAAGCUUCUUAUCUGGAAGCAUGAGCGGCGAAUCAAUAUUUAAAUUGUUGAGUCUUCUGUUACUGUUCAAAUGCUAUUAGUAGGGCCUGGAAAGCAUAUUGCUCUGAGGUUUCCCCUGUAUCGGUAAUGUGGUCGGCUGGCUUCACAGCCUAUCCUUCCUUUGUUUAAAGCUGUCAGACUAUUUUUGUGGAGAAACGUGGUUUUAUCUUUUAACUUUUAUGAUAUAAAGCAAAAGCGACAAUUCACUGAAGAUUCAUCUACGGAUUUUAGGUUAUAAAAGACAUGUUGCUUUAAAUCAAGUAGGUCUCUUUAAUCAUUUUUGGACCAGGAGUGCUUUCGUCAAGAUUGUAUUUUCACAAUUAUGACUUAACCAUUUAUUUAUUGUUGCUUAUCAUAGGAUAUAUGUCAUUGAGAUUUCUGUUCCUGCUUAAUCAUUAGAGCUAGUUUUGCUGACCUAGCUGGGAUUUCAGUUCGCUUAUUACUUCAUUAAGGCAAUAUUAAUUGAAGGCAAACCUUUUCUUCACCGCAGUCUUCAAAAUUCCAGAAACGAGCAACCUCACUGCAGUUUUUAAAUGUUGGUGCUUUAGUACUUCAAAAUUCCCCAAUUUAGAAUUUUCACAAAUAUAUAACUGUACAGCUAUCACCCAAAUAUCAUAGCUCUGAAACGAACUCUAGCGUGCCUAAACAGGUGAAUGCUGCAUUCCAGAAAGAAACGUCAUCACCUGCCCCAAUGGACCUUUGCUUUCUUGUUCAAGUUGCAGGGGCCAUUUUCUCGGUAGUUGCAAGCACCAAUUCACUGUGCCUCACAGCUGCAGGUCAAAAAGACAUGCCCCCAUGGUACUCCUCCGCAGGCCUGACUGUCUCAAAGCCCCCUCCCUCCUGAACAUUAGUUUCUCCUUUUCAUGCCGCUGCUCUGUCAUCAUAAUCCCUUGUACUAAAAGCAAGUAAUAACCUACUCUAUUGAUAUACCAAGGCUGCAUGCUAAAGUCUAAAGAUGAUCUUUUGUGUUUAAGUUUACUGUGCUUGGCUUUCCAUGCCUCAGGCCUCAGCUGAGUUCCAGCUUUUGUCCACUGCUUUCUGUAUUCUGGUCCCUCAUACUCGUUGAUGAGAGGUCGGCUGUACGUGGGUCUCACAUGUGUGUGGGGGAAGGGAAUAUGUUGACUGAAAUGACGAGAAAGCUUUAUCUCAACUUCACCAGCAUGGUAGUACCACGGCAGUGUCUACCUUCCAUCUUUUUCUGCUUGGGAAAAACUUCUUUCCCACAAAGUGAGUAUGCUGGGUACAAAUAAGGGAAGUGUCUCAUAUCUUUUGUUACUUCUCGAAAGGAAAGAAAGCGGGGUUUGUGAUCUAGAUUUGGCUUGUUUGGUGGCUGCAUAUCGUUUUGUCCUCUAUCAUUUUGAUUUAGGACCAUCAGUUUGGUGAGAUGGGAAUGUGGGCUGGGGAAUUUAAUAACUUGCUCCUGGGGAUCAGUGAGCUUGUUAAUGCGUGUAUUCUCGGAUAACUUAGCUGGUAACUUAUCAUAGAAAUGGCUUUACCUUGUAUUCCAUCCUCAAUACAAGGAAUUUCUCCUCCUGCAGGUACCUUUGCACGAUACAGUUACUACUAUAUGCUAAGCUUUGUCCUUGUAUCCUGCCCAAUUCAUGGAAUCUCUUCUCCUGCAGGCAGCUUUGCACGUUGCUAUUACUACUAUGCUAUCAUCUGGAUCUUGCGUUGAGUUGACCAUCAUUGCUGUAGGUAUGUGUGCCUGCAAGCCCGUGGCAUUUGCUGGCUUACAAUCUAGGAUGAUCGCCACCUUGCCGGGCUAUCGAUGGAACAGUUUUUCUUCAAGCAAUAUGAAAAAAAACAACGGCCAUGUUCGUACCAGAUGGAAAUACUAACAUGGGCCCCACAUGUCGGUCUUGCAACAGUGUCAGAGCUCGCUGUGGGCCCAGUGGAGCUAGCUAGCUUUUGCAUGCACGCAUGCAUGCAAUGAACAAACACACAAGGAGGAACAGAGAGAGCAGGUGGGCGAUGGAGGCUUUUAAUACUGCUGGAUAGGUUGCAUAGCUGGUGGUAGCAGCAGCAAGCAAGGAGCGGAGAGGAAGGAAUUGAUGGAAGGCAGAGAGAGGUGUGGUGAAAAAGGAAACAGCGACUUGACGACGGACUCCUCCUCCUUCACCUAUCAUCAGUUCAUCACUGGACACUGGCCUUGCUUUCUUGCUCCCAAGAUUUACACUCUCCAGUAGUCCAGUAGCAUCGCACGAUGCUCUCCUGCCUUCUUGCUGCUGCUGCUGGAGAUUUGAUUUUCGCUCCACGUUAUCCAGUGGUUGCUAUGGAAGAUACUACACCGGUGUGUACGUAGCUGGCAUCCGGAAUUCAAGGAUAUGAUACCACUAGUCAUCUACUGCAUGGCUGCUAGCUACUCCUCCAGUCAAGUCCAGCGAGCAAGUGCGUACGUACUCCUGGAUGUAUGUACUAUACUUUGGAGCUUGUGCUACCUGCAUGGAGAUCUGAUCCUGACCUACAUUGCUCUAUUUUACCGGUUUGUGGAAAAACAUGCUUUUGGAUGUUCUGAAACGAAUGCAGUUUCUUUGCACUGUUAGUUAUGUUGCACUGAACAUGCUCAGUUGGUUUGUGUGUCAUUUAGGAACCCAGCAGUGGAUAGGUUUACUACUGCUACCAAGAUUUCAGAAGAUCCUUUUCUUUUCGAAUCCAUUGUUUCAGAAGAUCUGUUGAAACAGAAGCGCAUGAUACAUCAUGAUUCUUAGAAGGCAGCUAAAGGGCAGAACCAAGUCCCGGCUCUUCAUUAAUUCGUCUUCGGUUAACAAGCCAGGAGCGUAUUUAGUUUUUCUCCUCUGGGCAGUGGCUGGGGCAUAUGGAGGAUAGCAUUGCGCUGAACUGUUCCAGCACUGGUGCCACAGCAGGAGGUGAGGUGAUCCAAACAAACUCUUUACUGGUCUGCUAAUUAAAUUUUUCGAGCGUGCAGGCCUGCUGCUCUCCAACGGGUAAAAAAGGAACAGGGUGGGAUCCACGGAUGCAGUGUCCCCUAGUGACAGUUUGGCUGCUUGGAGUGAGUGUCCUCUGCACAGUAUUAUGAUGAUGUUACUGCUACUUAUUACCACCACCAUCCUGUGCUGUUGAAAGCUGAUGAAGGAGGUACAGUAAUAAGUGUGGGAAAAAAAAUACUAAAGCGAGAUGGGAGAAGAUGAGAAUGCGUAGGCCCCUUGACAACACCCAAGAGUGACUGGGUUUUUGUGCUGGAUUUCAGGGCUUGCUUUUGGCAUCUCUCUGUUGGCCAUGGCUGGCUGCAGCUGCAAGCCUACAAAUGGACGAGAUUAACAUGUCUUAUUCCAUGUGCCCACAGCUGCACACCCAAGCCUUUUGGAUCCAUCUGCCCGUUGCCUAUGUUUUCUCUGUCGCUUUUUCCUUGUCGAAUUGGAUGGGAAUGGACGGUCUGGAUGAAGACACGCAUACAUCUCCCCGACCAAACGCACACCAGGGAGGCUGCUUAAGAAGCAAAUGUCUUUGCUGAAGCAUAAAACAAGGGGCUACACAAAACAGAUCGAUGAAAGCUUCUUCCGAGACUAAACAACUUGAGAUGGUUUAACCGAUUGCAGAGGGCAUUCUGCACUGCAGCGUCUGCAUUUCAUUUCACUGGAUUUCUUGCUCGCCCGGCAAUCUGGCAAAGGAAGGAAAGCAAGGCUGAUUUGAGAGAGUGCAGCAGAGGUGGAGUGUCCGAACAGAUCUGAGAGAAAAGGAAUUGAAGCGAGAGGUGCACCAUGGGUCCUGUUGGAAAAGACCAAACAGUGGAGGUACGUACUAGUAGCAGCAGGAUUAAAUUUUGGCGUCCAUCGCUGCAGUCACGUCCAUGCAUGCUGAUGCUGUUCAAGACUUCAAUCUGAUGUGAUGUGUAGUAAUGGAUUACAAAGAGUUUCUAGGGAGGGAGGGUUGGAUUUUUGGAUAUCUAUUCUAUUCAUUCCCCCGGUCGACGUGAUGGGAUUACAAAGGUUAGUUUUCAGUUGGAGCAUCAUGAUGUUGUCUCCUUCCUGUUGGCCGCUCAAGCUUCAGGUUGUUUCUUAAUCUCCAGAGUAAUCCAUACUGCUAGUAAGUAAUAUUGUUACAUGUCUGCCUGGACUAUAUCGUACAGCAAAUUGAACCGGCAACAGAUCAGACCACGGACGUCACAUGCAGUUGCAGUCUUGCAUAUGCAGCACAGGCUGCACAUCACACAAGAUCUGUAUGAACCUUGCAUGAACUGGUCUUUUUGGGCAGAAUUGUAUGUCCGCAUUCUCCAGGCUCCAGCACA